AGAGUUUGAUCAUGGCUCAGGAUAAAUGCUGGCGGUGUGUCUUAGGUAUGCAAGUCGAGCGAUUUUAUUGGUCCCGCAAGGGAUUGAUAAUGUAGCGGCGGACGGCUGAGUAACACGUGGGAACCUGCCCCUUAGCGGAGGAUAGCUCGUCGAAAGACGGGGUAAUACUCCAUACGUUCGUAAGAAGAAAGGGCGUAACUGCUCACUAAGGGAGGGGCCUGCGGCCUAUCAGGCAGUUGGUGAGGUAACGGCUCACCAAACCUAUGACGGGUAGCUGGUCUUGGAGGACGGACAGCCAGAGGGGGACUGAGAUACGGCCCCCACUCCUACGGGAGGCAGCAACCAAGAAUAUUGCGCAAUGGGCGAAAGCCUGACGCAGCGACACCGCGUGCGGGAAGAAGGCCUUAGGGUCGUAAACCGCUGUGGUAGGGGAAGAAGUCCCGACUCUGUCGGGAUUGACGGUACCCUAUUAGAAAGUGGCUGCAAACUACGUGCCAGAAGCAUCGGUCAAACGUAGGCCACAAGCAUUAUCCGAUUUUAUUGGGCGUAAAGGGACGCGUAGGCGGACUGGUAAGUUGUGCUUAAAAUCUUCUCGCUCAACGAGAGGUCGGGUGCAAUACUACCAGCCUUUGAGUUCUUUUCAGGGAAGUAGAACAUUCUUUGUAGCGGUAAAAUGCGUUGAUAAAGAAUGGAAUACCAAUGGCGAAGGCAACUUCCUGGAAAUUUACUGACGCUGAGGCUCGAAAGCUAGGGGAGCGAAAGGGAUUAGAGACCCCUGUAGUCCUAGCCUUAAACGCAUGUCUGCUAGUUCUUCUUUUCUCGAUUUAUCGAGAAGGGAGGGGCGUAAGCUUACGCAUUAAGCAGACCGCCUGGGAAGUACGACCGCAAGGUUAAAACUCAAAUGAAUAGGCGGGGACCCACACAACGAGUGGAACAUGUGGCUCAAUUCGACACGAACCGAAGAACCUCACCAGGGUUUGACAUUCCAACGUCCUAUUUCCCGGAAACGGGAGAAAUUCGCAAGAAGGUUGGAACAGCUGGUGCAUGGCUGUCGUCAGCUCGUUCCGUGAGGAGUGCCCUUAAGUGGGACAACGAGCGCAACCCUUAUCCUGAGUUACAAGUGUCUCAGGAGACUGCCCCGACUAUCGUCGGGGAGGAAGGAGAGGCGGACGUCAAGUCAUCAUGUCGCUUAUACCCUGGGCUGCACACAUGUUACAAUGAGUAGGAACAACGCGCUUCGUGACUUCGUAAGAAGAUGCAAAUCGCUGAAAUCUACUCUCAGUGGGGAUUGAGGGCUGAAAUUCGCCCUCAUGAACGCGGAAUUCGUAGUAAUCGCGGGUCAGCUAUACCGCGGUGAAUACGUUCUUGGGUCUUGCACUCACCGCCCGUCAAGCCACCAAAGUUACAGGCACUUAAAAAGCCCCAAUAACGGGGAACUAGGGUGAAUGUAGCGAUGGGGACUAAGU
RNAcentral lists this ribosomal RNA (1466 nucleotides) under metagenome. RNAcentral's name for it is "bacterial SSU rRNA". It matches the Rfam family "Bacterial small subunit ribosomal RNA". The record is from RNAcentral.